ACCCAAUAGAUACCCUGGUAGUCCUUGCCGUAAACUAUGUAUACUUGAUGUAAUUGGGCUCAAACCCUGAUUGUGUCGAAAGCUAACGCGAUAAGUAUACCGCCUGGGGAGUACGCUCGCAAGGGUGAAACUCAAAAGAAUUGACGGGGGCCCGCACAAGCAGUGGAGCAUGUGGUUUAAUUCGAUGCAACGCGAAGAACCUUACCCAGAUUUGAAAUACAGAGGACGGCUACAGAAAUGGAGCUUCCCGCAAGGGCCUCUGUACAGGUGCUGCAUGGCUGUCGUCAGCUCGUGCCGUGAGGUGUUGGGUUAAGUCCCGCAACGAGCGCAACCCUUAUCAUUAGUUGCCAACACGCGAGGUGGGGACUCUAAUGAGACUGCCCACGGUUAACUGGGAGGAAGGUGAGGAUGACGUCAAGUCCGCAUGGCC
Molecule: ribosomal RNA, 430 nt
Filed under: uncultured bacterium
Lineage: Bacteria
Description: bacterial SSU rRNA
Rfam family: Bacterial small subunit ribosomal RNA
Source: RNAcentral